CGCUUAACACAUGCACGUCGACCGAGAAAGUCUCUUCGGAGAUGAGUACAGCGGCGAACGGGUGAGUAACACGUGGGUAACCUGCCCUGAGGAGCGGGACAACCCGGGGAAACUCGGGCUAAUACCGCAUGAUACGUAUGAUCUUAAGGUCGUACGGCAAAAGGUAGCUUCGGCUUCCGCCUUUGGAUGGGCCCGCGGCGCAUUAGCUUGUUGGUGGGGUAACGGCCUACCAAGGCGACGAUGCGUAGCUGGUCUGAGAGGACGAUCAGCCACACUGGGACUGAGACACGGCCCAGACUCCUACGGGAGGCAGCAGUGGGGAAUCUUGCGCAAUGGGCGAAAGCCUGACGCAGCGACGCCGCGUGAGGGAAGAAGGCUCUCGGGUUGUAAACCUC
Molecule: ribosomal RNA, 395 nt
Filed under: uncultured organism
Description: bacterial SSU rRNA
Rfam family: Bacterial small subunit ribosomal RNA
Source: RNAcentral